UGGGGAAUAUUGGGCAAUGGGCGAAAGCCUGACCCAGCAACGCCGCGUGAAGGAUGAAGGUUUUCGGAUUGUAAACUUCUUUUAUGUGGGAAGAUAAUGACGGUACCACAUGAAUAAGCCACGGCUAACUACGUGCCAGCAGCCGCGGUAAUACGUAGGUGGCAAGCGUUGUCCGGAUUUACUGGGUGUAAAGGGCGAGUAGGCGGGACCGAAAGUCAGAUGUGAAAUUUAGAGGCUUAACUUCUAAACUGCAUUUGAAACUUCGGUUCUUGAGUGAUGGAGAGGCAGGCGGAAUUCCCGGUGUAGCGGUGGAAUGCGUAGAUAUCGGGAGGAACACCAGUGGCGAAGGCGGCCUGCUGGACAUUAACUGACGCUGAGGAGCGAAAGCGUGGGGAGCAAACA
The sequence is a ribosomal RNA, 402 nucleotides long. It matches the Rfam family "Bacterial small subunit ribosomal RNA", at positions 355 to 774 of the family's 1533-position model.